RNAcentral lists this ribosomal RNA (489 nucleotides) under uncultured bacterium. Its description in RNAcentral is "partial 16S ribosomal RNA". It matches the Rfam family "Bacterial small subunit ribosomal RNA", at positions 29 to 507 of the family's 1533-position model. The record is from RNAcentral.
AUGAACGCUAGCUACAGGCUUAACACAUGCAAGUCGAGGGGCAGCGGGAUUGAAGCUUGCUUCAAUUGCCGGCGACCGGCGCACGGGUGAGUAACGCGUAUCCAACCUUCCGUACACUCAGGGAUAGCCUUUCGAAAGAAAGAUUAAUACCUGAUGGUAUGAUGAGAUUGCAUGAUAUCAUCAUUAAAGAUUUAUCGGUGUACGAUGGGGAUGCGUUCCAUUAGGUAGUAGGCGGGGUAACGGCCCACCUAGCCAACGAUGGAUAGGGGUUCUGAGAGGAAGGUCCCCCACAUUGGAACUGAGACACGGUCCAAACUCCUACGGGAGGCAGCAGUGAGGAAUAUUGGUCAAUGGACGAGAGUCUGAACCAGCCAAGUAGCGUGAAGGAUGAAGGUCCUACGGAUUGUAAACUUCUUUUAUAAGGGAAUAAACCCUCCCACGUGUGGGAGCUUGUAUGUACCUUAUGAAUAAGCAUCGGCUAACUCCGUG